Molecule: long non-coding RNA, 5124 nt
Organism: Saccostrea cuccullata (small rock oyster)
Lineage: Eukaryota; Metazoa; Mollusca; Bivalvia; Ostreida; Ostreidae
Exons: 2
Source: RefSeq, a predicted model, not a curated record
AUAAUUUCGGCCUAAUGUACUUAUCGUGUGGACUUGUAGGGGUAUAAAUUUAUAUAUGAACCUACCCACGUUGUUUGACAAUAGUACAGAGUAGGCCGCAUACAUGUACUUAUUGUGUGGGAGUUUUUGGGUACAAAGUUUAUCUGUGCCUACCCACGGUGUUUAGCAAUAGUACAGAGUAGGCCGCAUAUAUGUACUUAUUGUGUGGGAGUUUUUGGGUACAAAGUUUAUCUGUGCCUACCCACGGUGUUUAGCAAUAGUACAGAGUAGGCCGCAUAUAUGUACUUAUUGUGUGGGAGUUUUGGGUACAAGUUUAUCUGUGCCUACCCACGUUGUUUGACAAUAGUACAGAGUAGGCCGCAUAUAUGUACUUAUUGUGUGGGAGUUUUGGGUACAAGUUUAUCUGUGCCUACCCACGGUGUUUAACAAUAGAACAGAGUAGGCCGCAUACAUGUACUUAUUGUGUGGGAGUUUUUGGUACAAAGUUUAAAUGUGCCUACCCACGGUGUUUAGCAAUAGUACAGAGUAGGCCGCAUAUAUGUUCUUAUUGUGUGGGAGUCUAGGGUUCAUUAUUUAUUUGUACCUAUCCACAUGUAUAAGAUAAGUACAAGGCUAAGGGUUUCUUUGUACCAGUAACAGUUUAUGUCGUGUUAGAUUUUUUGAUUUGGAGAUUUUUUAAGUUAACACGACUUAAACUGUGGUCGAAGAAAUGAAACUUACCAAGAUCAAUGGCUUAAAUUCUUUGUGCAUUGGCAUACCUAUGUUAAAGGAGUUUGUUCCUAGUAUACUUGUAGAUUUUACAUAUAUACCAAUAAGAGGUAGUUAUGUAUUUGUUUGCACAUUAUGACAUUUGCGUCUAAUGUAGCAGGAUUUCACUUAGUUUAGAGUUACCCGUACGCUUGAUCUUCAUGUUUUGUGCGGAGUUUAUAUGUAUGCAUAUGGGUCGAAGUUAUCCAUAUUUUCACUGUUUUGUUUUAAAGUAUAUGUGCCCUAUUACAUCUAAACAUAAUGGCAACUUCAUUUCAUGUUCAUUGCAGUCAAUUUCAAGUAAGAGUAUCACAAUAGUUCUUAGUUGUUACAAAGUACGUGUUACAAAUAGUGGUAUCUCCUAUACAUGUGACAUUUUUAUCUUUUGUUAUGGAGUUAAUAGAUUUAUUCUUUAAUAUUUCGUUUGAUGAAAUUGGUAGAAUCCCGGAACAUGUAGAUUUUCGUCAAAGCGAAUCCUCUUAGCAGAGAAUUAAUCGAUUAUUAUCAGUAUGAUUGUAAUACAAUAUAUAUUGCUAUCAAGGUUAGUCUACAGGAAAAAGUUUACUCUUUCUGUUCAAGGUUGUUACAUUUAGUUUUUCUAUGAGCAUGAUAAUGUACAUGAUGUAUCACUUUGUUUACAACUCAGUUGUUGGUUUUUGGCGUCCUUUCUUUAAAUGACACCUUAGACUUAAAAAGUAUUCAUAUAAUUUUCAUGUUUAAGUUGCAGAUGCCUUUUGAUGAAUUUGCCAGUGUGCAUAUUUGCUACAUCCUAGCAGCCCGAGUGUAGAGGAAGCGUAGCUAUAACUGUUAAUAGCCCAGAGAGCCUAGCAGAAUUGUGCCGGAUGCCAUGAAUCUAAUGUUAUUGAUACAGGUUUGAUCUGUUUAACAAAUAUUGACUUAGCGAGCUGUUUUAUCUAACAAAUUGCAUAAGAUCCGCGCCACCGGUGGAUAAUGUCCUAAACCAGCCCGUCCACUAGUGUUAUUCCAGAUACAAUUUGACUUUACCAACAACUUUCAUGCGAUCAGCCGGUAUAAGAUCCAUAUGUUUGCUAGCUAAACUGCUGCAGUGCUGCUACAGGUGUGCCCCAAAUCAGCCGUGUAAUCAGGAUAUCCACUAGCGUUGGUUCACAAAGCAUCCAUACCAGCUAGAUCAUUCAAUUUGGUUUCAAAUAAAACAUUUACAGGCUAGUCAGCAAGUAAAUAAUAUAGGAAGAUCCCCCCUCCAUAAAAUUUCAAAUAAGUUCCCUAUAUAGCUGGUAAAUAUAGGUUUAAUUUAUUUUUAUAAAUUAGUACAGACCCCAUGCACGGUCAGUACAUUAAAUGAAAGGAUUUUCAAUUUACGUCCCUUUUCGGAAAUUAAGCAUUGUCAGGCUAGAAUACAAUAAUAAUAAUAAUAAUAAUAAUAAAUUAUUUUAAAAAGUUUCUAAUAGACAGCAUAAUGUAGGACAUUGUUUGGAGUUACUAGCUCAUGUUGUACAUUGUACGUUUCUGCGGUCUUUAUCUUUAAAUAUUAAUUUGCUUUAAUAAACCCCAUGUAAAAUUUUCUCCAACAUAUUUUUAUAUAAAAAUUCUAUUAAUUUUCGGUCUUGUUUGACAUCUGUAGUUGAAAGAUAAUCGUUUUCUUUUGAUAUUUAGGAAAGGCAUUUUUGCACAUGGUGGCAGUAUUUCAUUCUUGACAUCUCUUUCCUGUCUGACGAUAGCAAUGUUAUUAACUCAAUCUUGUUAUCAAAUUUAUGGUUACAUCCUAGGAUUGCGUUCUUUGAAUUUGCUAUGCUUCGCUCUACCUAAUUUCAGUGUGGUAAAUUAAUGUCUUACAGAUUCCCUAUGUUCAUGAUAUUUUCUAUCCUUAAUUUUAAUUGGCCGGUCAGUAUGAAAGUAGGCAGAGUUGUCAAAGAACAGAUUUGUGAGUUUGUAAGGAAGGCAAUCUAGGAACAUUCUUGUGUUAUUCAGUUUUGUAGUCUAUCUACGAAAUUUGUUCCAAAUUAUAUUUGUGAAAUUUAGAUUUUUGGACUUACAAUAAAUUCUAAACUUUAGAACCGACUUUUCAAUUGACACAAUAUUACAUGGUGAACUUAGUAUAAUCCAGGAAUUUUACAUUCAAUUCAAAACGCUUAGGAACAUAAUAAUUUAACCUUCACUGUGUACAACUUCUUUAUACUUUCUGGAAUAGAAGUAUGGUAGAUUCCUCCAUGAAAAGGGCAUACUUCAUGGAAUUAAUGGAUACACUCUUUUGGGUCAGACAGUUCCAAGAGAAAGGGCUGUUAUGCAAAUAUUUUGGGGUUGUUUAUAUUUGUUGAAUUUCUGAUACAAAUCUUUAAAAUAUUACAAUUUGGAAGAUACUCUUAAUGGUUUACAAAAAAUAAAUAAAUAAAUAAAUAAAUAAAUAAAAUAAACACUCACUUAUAUAAAGUUAAAUAAUUCAAGGUUGUAGUAAGUAGAAUGAUAUCUGACCUAGUGUCCUACACAUGAGCACUCUCAACAUGAUUCUUCUUCAAUCAUGUAUUUUUCAUAAUUCUCUCAAUAUCAAUUUAUUAUACAUGUUUUGUGGAACUUAAGUAUGUACAGUAAUUUAAUUGUACCUUGAUAUCAAAAGGAGAGAACUAAUACAGGCCCUUGGCCUGCUGUUCAAUCCAUAUUCAUAUUGUACACUUUGUAUAUUAUGAAUAAAAUACUUCUUUUACUAAAAGCAUUCUCACUCAUCACUAGGUUGAAUUUGUCAAAAUUUAAGUUUGUUGACAUAAUAGAUCUCAACCAUUAAUCCUGAUAAUAAUUGAAACUACUAAAUUAACAAAGUGCUACACAUCAUUUAGAUAAUUCAUUAAGAUAUGUUUCACAUUGUCAUUGUCAGGGACAGAUCUGGAAAUAUGCAUGCUCUCGAUAGAUAGCCCCCGGCCGCUAGCAUAAUAUAAUAAUUUUUCAAAGCAGGGAAAUCUGUAAGUCUGGAUCUUUUGCAAAUGUGUAUAUGGUAAGCUACUCAUGAGACACAGACAAACUGUUCAGAAAUCUCUAUUAGGAUUUUGAAGGACAACAGUUCAAAUGCAUUGCAUAGAUAUAUUUGCUUAAAAUCACUUAAACUUAAUAAGUUCACAUAAUCUGUAACAUACAAGAAUGAAGAUCAAAUAUUGGUCAAUGGUAAUUAUUGUUUUGUUCUUCUUAAAAAAAAACAAAAAAUAAAUAAAUAAAUAAAAAAUAAUAAUAAUAUCAAUAAAAAUCUAGCAUUUAAUAGCUGUUUUUGUUCUACUCCCAUUAGUCCGAUUCUAGAAUGUAGUUUAAUUGCGAGUCAGUGUUUAACUGCAGUUCUGUUCUAUUCAUGAUAAAUAGUUAGAUACUAGGAUGUAUUUAAAUACAGGUCAGUGAUUUAACUGCUGUUUUGUUCUACUCGUGAAAAUUAGUUAGAUAUUAGGAUGUAAUUUAAAUGCAGGUCAGUGAUUUAACUGCUGUUUUGUUAUACUCGCGAUAAAUAUUUUGAUACUCACUAAAGAUGUAAUGUAAAUACAGGUCAGUUAUUUAACUGCUGUUUUUGUUCUACUCUUACAAUUAAAAAUACCUUAAGGAACAUGUUCAUUCCCACAUUGACAGGUCAGUGAAUAACUGCUGUUGGAUAUCUAAAUACUCCUCAUCUGACUUCGUUACUUGCUGGCUCAAUAAACAAUACUUUUCGAUUUGUCAUUUAAUUACUCUGAAAUUAGUUUUCUUCCAUACUUACAUGUAUUACUCAAUAUCGUUAUUUAUUAACAUUGCUCGGAUAUUAUAUCAAUACAGGUAUUUCCUUCAUUAUAUGACAUGUAACUACAUUUUCGUGAUAACUGGUAACGGAAUAAUUAAUGAAAGGUAGAUUUUUAUUUUUCAUUUCAUUACUUUAAGUUGAAAUGUGUGGAGAGGCCAGUGAUUAACUGCCUUCAUAUAGAUUUGAUGUGUGCAAGCUCACCUUGGAUGGCACGGAUGUGAUUUACAUGUCACAUCUUACAUGGAUGUGACCUGCAUAUCACAUCUUGUGGCCUAUUUUGUUUUGAUGUGCCAUCUAUUUGCUAACUUUUUAAUAUGAUGUUUUGAUUGUCUUGUCUUACAGAUACUUUUUUCUAGUCAUUUUUGGGGGAUCAGACAUUAUCAUAUUUUACGUAACUGAUAAGCAAAGCUUGUGAAUCUGAUCCCCCUUCUUGUUUGUUAAAUUGUUCACAUUUAUAUCGUCAUUUUAAUAAAUGACAUUAUUCAUCAACAUGAAAAUACUUUUUUCUAGUCAUUUUUGGGGGAUCAGACAUUAUCAUAUUUUACGUAACUGAUAAGCAAAGCUUGUGAAUCUGAUCCCCCUUCUUGUUUGUUAAAUUGUUCACAUUUAUAUCGUCAUUUUAAUAAAUGACAUUAUUCAUCAACAUGAAA